RNAcentral lists this ribosomal RNA (1426 nucleotides) under Salmonella enterica. RNAcentral's name for it is "partial 23S ribosomal RNA". It matches the Rfam family "Bacterial large subunit ribosomal RNA", at positions 1525 to 2925 of the family's 2925-position model. Lineage: Bacteria; Pseudomonadati; Pseudomonadota; Gammaproteobacteria; Enterobacterales; Enterobacteriaceae. The record is from RNAcentral.
GUGUGUUCCAGGUAAAUCCGGUUCACUUUAACACUGAGGCGUGAUGACGAGGCACCACGGUGCUGAAGCAACAAAUGCCCUGCUUCCAGGAAAAGCCUCUAAGCAUCAGGUAACAUCAAAUCGUACCCCAAACCGACACAGGUGGUCAGGUAGAGAAUACCAAGGCGCUUGAGAGAACUCGGGUGAAGGAACUAGGCAAAAUGGUGCCGUAACUUCGGGAGAAGGCACGCUGACACGUAGGUGAAGUGAUUUACUCAUGGAGCUGAAGUCAGUCGAAGAUACCAGCUGGCUGCAACUGUUUAUUAAAAACACAGCACUGUGCAAACACGAAAGUGGACGUAUACGGUGUGACGCCUGCCCGGUGCCGGAAGGUUAAUUGAUGGGGUCAGCGCAAGCGAAGCUCCUGAUCGAAGCCCCGGUAAACGGCGGCCGUAACUAUAACGGUCCUAAGGUAGCGAAAUUCCUUGUCGGGUAAGUUCCGACCUGCACGAAUGGCGUAAUGAUGGCCAGGCUGUCUCCACCCGAGACUCAGUGAAAUUGAACUCGCUGUGAAGAUGCAGUGUACCCGCGGCAAGACGGAAAGACCCCGUGAACCUUUACUAUAGCUUGACACUGAACAUUGAGCCUUGAUGUGUAGGAUAGGUGGGAGGCUUUGAAGCGUGGACGCCAGUCUGCGUGGAGCCGACCUUGAAAUACCACCCUUUAAUGUUUGAUGUUCUAACGUGGACCCGUAAUCCGGGUUGCGGACAGUGUCUGGUGGGUAGUUUGACUGGGGCGGUCUCCUCCUAAAGAGUAACGGAGGAGCACGAAGGUUGGCUAAUCCUGGUCGGACAUCAGGAGGUUAGUGCAAUGGCAUAAGCCAGCUUGACUGCGAGCGUGACGGCGCGAGCAGGUGCGAAAGCAGGUCAUAGUGAUCCGGUGGUUCUGAAUGGAAGGGCCAUCGCUCAACGGAUAAAAGGUACUCCGGGGAUAACAGGCUGAUACCGCCCAAGAGUUCAUAUCGACGGCGGUGUUUGGCACCUCGAUGUCGGCUCAUCACAUCCUGGGGCUGAAGUAGGUCCCAAGGGUAUGGCUGUUCGCCAUUUAAAGUGGUACGCGAGCUGGGUUUAGAACGUCGUGAGACAGUUCGGUCCCUAUCUGCCGUGGGCGCUGGAAGACUGAGGGGGGCUGCUCCUAGUACGAGAGGACCGGAGUGGACGCAUCACUGGUGUUCGGGUUGUCAUGCCAAUGGCACUGCCCGGUAGCUAAAUGCGGAAAAGAUAAGUGCUGAAAGCAUCUAAGCACGAAACUUGCCCCGAGAUGAGUCUUCCCUGAGACCUUGAGUCUCCUGAAGGAACGUUAAAGACGAUGACGUUGAUAGGCCGGGUGUGUAAGCGCAGCGAUGCGUUGAGCUAACCGGUACUAAUGAACCGUGAGGCUUAACCUU